This is an RNA transcript of Sapajus apella (tufted capuchin), 1211 nucleotides long. It is a transcript of the gene named vitamin K epoxide reductase complex subunit 1-like protein 1, with no coding region annotated. Lineage: Eukaryota; Metazoa; Chordata; Mammalia; Primates; Cebidae. The transcript has 6 exons. The record is from RefSeq and is a predicted model, not a curated record.
CGCCCCCUCCGUCUGAGCCCGCGCGGGCCUUCUCUGCUCCGCCCGCCUCACUCCUUUCUGGGCGGUUGGGCAGCGCGCCUGUCCCGGCGGGGCGCGCAGCGAGCGACCCAGCCUCUGGGACGCGGUGGCGGCGGUUGCGGCGGCGGCGACGGCGGCGACGGCUGGGUCUGCCCAGACUGCGGCGGAGGCGGUGGCUGAGGUGGAGGCGGAAGGAGGCGGCGGCUGCAGAGGGGGGAAGAUGGCGGCGUCUGUCCCGCUGAGAGUGUCGGUGCCGCCGUGGGAGCUGGUGGCCUGGUACGCCGUGUGCCCUUCCCGGAUACUGCUCUAUUUCUACACCGACUACGUGGAGCGGGAGAAGGAGUGGGACCCCGAGCACCGGACCCUCUGCAACCUGGGGUCCUGGGUAAAGUGCUCCGCCGCCCUUGCCUCCAGAAUCCUUGCCCAGAGUCCAGCGCCUCGUUCCUGUCCAGGAUCACCUUCUGGUGGAUCACAGGGUUGAUCAUCCGGGGCUACCACCAGCCCCUUGGAGAGCAGUGGCCUCUGGUCCUUAAACAAGGAGGACACAUUGGAACAAGUCAUGCCUAUAUUGGUAAAGAACCAGAAGAAGAAAUGCGCCAAGUCUAGGAAUAGGUGACAAGUAUUUGUUCAGCACCUGCUGUGCAUUGUCUUAUGUACUGAGGAUACAGCAGUCCACCUGGAGCUCACAUUCUAGUGGGGAAAGAAAAUAAAAAGAAAGAACCACUGGAAAGAUGACUGCUUUAAGAGCUUAUCCACUCUGAACCACAUCACAGAACAAGAUUGUCUCAACAAUAACAACAAGAAAGAAACAAACCUAAUUGUUCCCAUGUAAAAAUAAGUCUAGGUCCACACUAGAUGUGAAGAGUUCACAAUGCCACAAGACAGAACAGAAAUAUAUUUAAAAAUUAUAUUACUGCUUUCCAUAGAAAUAAAACGAAUUUAAUUAAGCUUUUGUAAGACAAGUCAAGAAAAAGAGCAAAAAAUGCAAAAGUAAAACUUGAAAGGCCAUUUUGUAAUCAAGGGCUUACUCACAAAAUAUACAUAUUGUUCAAAACGUUGGUUCUGAAUUUUGACAUAAGUAAGUUACAGUUUCAUUUGAGGAUGUCUAAGAGGUCAAAUAAGACAAUGUCAUUUGCUAUUUUCAGUCCUUUUUUUUUUUUGAGAGGACAGUAAACUUUAGAGAAAUGAAUUGU